UGAAACUUAAAGGAAUUGACGGAAGGGCACCACCAGGAGUGGAGCCUGCGGCUUAAUUUGACUCAACACGGGAAAACUCACCAGGCCCGGACACCGGAAGGAUUGACAGAUUGAGAGCUCUUUCUCGAAUCGGUGGGUGGUGGUGCAUGGCCGUUCUUAGUUGGUGGAGCGAUUUGUCUGGUUAAUUCCGAUAACGAACGAGACUCUAGCCUGCUAACUAGGCGUACCCGGUAUCCGCAAUAGUGCUACCGGCGAAUUCAGUUCUUCUUAGAGGGACAGGCGGCUUCUAGCCGCACGAGACUGAGCAAUAACAGGUCUGUGAUGCCCUUAGAUGUCCUGGGCCGCACGCGCGCUACACUGAAGGAAUCAGCGUGUCUUCCCUGUCCGAGAGGACCGGGUAACCCGCUGAACCUCCUUCGUGCUAGGGACUGGGGCUUGCAAUUGUUCCCCACGAACGAGGAAUUCCCAGUAAGCGCGAGUCAUAAGCUCGCGUUGAUUACGUCCCUGCCCUUUGUACACACCGCCCGUCGCUACUACCGAUUGAAUGAUUUAGUGAGGUCUUCGGACCGGGGCGCGGAGGCCGCCUCGCGGUCACCGGUGUCGCCGGAAAGAUGACCGAACUUGAUCAUUUAGAGGAAGUAAAA
This 644-nucleotide ribosomal RNA is filed under the name Picumna sp. MW-2016. RNAcentral's name for it is "SSU rRNA". It matches the Rfam family "Eukaryotic small subunit ribosomal RNA", at positions 1138 to 1787 of the family's 1831-position model. Lineage: Eukaryota; Metazoa; Arthropoda; Insecta; Hemiptera; Issidae. The record is from RNAcentral.